This 497-nucleotide ribosomal RNA is filed under the name uncultured bacterium. RNAcentral describes it as "partial 16S ribosomal RNA". It matches the Rfam family "Bacterial small subunit ribosomal RNA", at positions 28 to 507 of the family's 1533-position model. The record is from RNAcentral.
GAUGAACGCUGGCGGCGUGCCUAAUACAUGCAAGUCGAGCGAACAGACGAGGAGCUUGCUCCUCUGACGUUAGCGGCGGACGGGUGAGUAACACGUGGAUAACCUACCUAUAAGACUGGGAUAACUUCGGGAAACCGGAGCUAAUACCGGAUAAUAUAUUGAACCGCAUGGUUCAAUAGUGAAAAACGGUUUUGCUGUCACUUAUAGAUGGAUCCGCGCUGCAUUAGCUAGUUGGUAAGGUAACGGCUUACCAAGGCAACGAUGCGUAGCCGACCUGAGAGGGUGAUCGGCCACACUGGAACGGAGACACGGUCCAGACUCCUACGGGAGGCAGCAGUAGGGAAUCUUCCGCAAUGGGCGAAAGCCUGACGGAGCAACGCCGCGUGAGUGAUGAAGGUCUUCGGAUCGUAAAACUCUGUUAUUAGGGAAGAACAAAUGUGUAAGUAACUAUGCACGUCUUGACGGUACCUAAUCAGAAAGCCACGGCUAACUACGUG